AGUGAACGCUGGCGGUAGGCCUAACACAUGCAAGUCGAACGGCAGCACAGUAAGAGCUUGCUCUUACGGGUGGCGAGUGGCGGACGGGUGAGGAAUACAUCGGAAUCUACUUUUUCGUGGGGGAUAACGUAGGGAAACUUACGCUAAUACCGCAUACGACCUACGGGUGAAAGCAGGGGAUCUUCGGACCUUGCGCGAUUGAAUGAGCCGAUGUCGGAUUAGCUAGUUGGCGGGGUAAAGGCCCACCAAGGCGACGAUCCGUAGCUGGUCUGAGAGGGUGAUCAGCCACACUGGAACUGAGACACGGUCCAGACCCCUACGGGAGGCAGCAGUGGGGAAUAUUGGACAAUGGGCGCAAGCCUGAUCCAGCCAUACCGCGUGGGUGAAGAAGGCCUUCGGGUUGUAAAGCCCUUUUGUUGGGAAAGAAAAGCAGCAGGUUAAUACCCCGCUGUUCUGACGGUACCCAAAGAAUAAGCACCGGCUAACUUCGUG
Molecule: ribosomal RNA, 492 nt
Filed under: uncultured bacterium
Lineage: Bacteria
Description: partial 16S ribosomal RNA
Rfam family: Bacterial small subunit ribosomal RNA
Source: RNAcentral